AUUUAGUAAUAGUAAUUAUGACAUAUUAAUUAAUUAAUUACUUGGACGCUGGUGUUAGUGGCGAGUGGUUCACUUACCCUGACUAAUUUGGGUGCUCUGCCUAACUGUAAACAGUGUACCAGCCUAAUCUAACCAUCCCUAAUCCUCCAUAACCUCGCCUAACCCUGAAAGAAAAUGAUGAGUACUGGUUGAACCAUGGCUUGCAUCAUUGAUCCCUGACGAAUGUCCAGUUGUCUCAAGUUUUAAACACAUAACCCUAUACACUCUAUUUCUGAUUAUUAGUACUUGCUACCAUGUACUUGGUAACACUGUUUAUGCAUGGGAUGUCUUUUAACGUGUAAUGUGGUUUUAUCAGUACAUAUUUGCUAGAAUAAUCAGAUGAGAAUCAUUGUCUAGCUUGGUUCAGAGUUCGGACUCAUUUUUGUGCUAGUCUUUACUGCAAGCAUGAUGGAGAAGUGGAAUGAUUCUUGCACAAGAUUUUGGCGAUGGGGCAGCAAGAAACCAAAGUGGGUGGAAAAUGAAUGAUUGAACUUGAACAGAGAUAUGGGGCUGAGUUUAAAGACAUUGAUAAUUCAGAUGCUUUGCUGCAAUGGAGGUGAUGAUGGUGCAGUUUUCCAGCAAGAUGCAGAAACCAGUUCGACAAGAAGUCAAAGUUGAUAUAUCUGAUUAUCACUUGUGAACUUGGAUGUAUUAUUGCCUUUGGAUAUCAUGAACAAUUGACUUUCUUGUUGACUCCCUCUGAGAAGUGGUCUGAAACAUGUAAGAUAACUCAACCAAGGACAAAGAGAGUUGAAGGCAGGUGGCAAAAGAAUGAAUGACUUAGUCAGAAAAUAUGAAUAUGAUCUUUUGAAUAUGAAUGUGGAAGGUAAUUGAUCUUGAUACUAAUGCAAUGCAUUAUGCUGUUUCUAAGUGCCUUGCUUUGAUGAAGGUCAUACUCAUGUACUAUUGUCAUACAAACGCCGAAUACCAGCUAUAGAUGCUGUGAUCAAGUGUUUAUUACUGUAUGAAAUUUUCUACAGUUGUCGUACAUCUAUAUUUUGCAACAUAUAUAGACA
Corticium candelabrum is the source of this 1055-nucleotide long non-coding RNA. RefSeq lists it as uncharacterized. Lineage: Eukaryota; Metazoa; Porifera; Homoscleromorpha; Homosclerophorida; Plakinidae. The transcript has 3 exons. The record is from RefSeq and is a predicted model, not a curated record.